This 1407-nucleotide ribosomal RNA is filed under the name metagenome. Its description in RNAcentral is "bacterial LSU rRNA". It matches the Rfam family "Bacterial large subunit ribosomal RNA", at positions 1498 to 2925 of the family's 2925-position model. The record is from RNAcentral.
AUGGAAAGACCGGUACAAGCGAGGUAGGAGAAGAGUUGGCAAAUCCGCUCUUUAAUCUGAAGACGUGAUGUGGACUGGAAAUAAGUAGGGAAGCACGUGAGCUGACUGUCAAGAAAAGCCGCUAUUGUUUGCAGGAUACCCGUACCGUAAACCGACACAGGUGGAUGAGGAGAGAAUCCUAAGGCCGACGGGAGAAGCAUUGUUAAGGAACUCGGCAAAAUGACUCCGUAACUUCGGGAGAAGGAGUGCCAGUAAGAUGGCCGCAGAGAAUUGGCCCAAGCAACUGUUUAGCAAAAACACAGGUCUAUGCAAAACCGAAAGGUGAGGUAUAUGGGCUGACGCCUGCCCGGUGCUGGAAGGUUAAGGGGAGAGGUUAGCGCAAGCGAAGCUUUGAAUUUAAGCCCCAGUAAACGGCGGCCGUAACUAUAACGGUCCUAAGGUAGCGAAAUUCCUUGUCGGGUAAGUUCCGACCCGCACGAAAGGCGUAAUGAUUUGGGCACUGUCUCAACAAUGCACCCGGUGAAAUUGAAAUACCAGUGAAGAUGCUGGUUACCUGCGCCAGGACGGAAAGACCCCAUGGAGCUUUACUCCAGCUUGAUACUGGGAUUCGGUAUUGCAUGUACAGGAUAGGUGGGAGGCUAGGAAAUGGUAACGCCAGUUGCCAUGGAGCCAAUGUUGGGAUACCACCCUUGCAGUACUGGGUUUCUAACCAGCAGCCGUGAUCCGGCUGGGGGACAAUGUCAGGUGGGGAGUUUGACUGGGGCGGUCGCCUCCGAAAGGGUAUCGGAGGCGCUCAAAGGUUCCCUCAGAAUGGUUGGAAACCAUUCGAAGAGUGCAAAGGCAGAAGGGAGCUUGACUGCGACACCGACGGGUGGAGCAGGUACGAAAGUAGGACUUAGUGAUCCGGUGGUAUAAAGUGGGAUUGCCAUCGCUCAACGGAUAAAAGCUACCCUGGAUAACAGGCUUAUCACUCCCAAGAGUUCACAUCGACGGAGUGGUUUGGCACCUCGAUGUCGGCUCAUCGCAUCCUGGGGCUGAAGUAGGUCCCAAGGGUUGGGCUGUUCGCCCAUUAAAGCGGUACGCGAGCUGGGUUCAGAACGUCGUGAGGCAGUUCGGUCCCUAUCCGGCGUGGGCGUAAGAUAUUUGAGAGGAGCUGUCCUUAGUACGAGAGGACCGGGAUGGACUGGCCGCUGGUGUAUCUGUUGUCUUACCAAAGGCAUAGCAGAGUAGCCAAGCCGGGAAGGGAUAAACGCUGAAGGCAUCUAAGCGUGAAGCCCCCCUCAAGAUGAGAUAUCUCAUAACGUCAAGUUAGUAAGACCCCUUGAAGACGACGAGGUAGAUAGGGCAGAGGUGGAAGUGUGGUAACACAUGGAGCUGACUGUUACUAAUAGGUCGAGGGCAUAACCG